RNAcentral lists this ribosomal RNA (278 nucleotides) under uncultured bacterium. RNAcentral describes it as "partial 16S ribosomal RNA". It matches the Rfam family "Bacterial small subunit ribosomal RNA", at positions 74 to 354 of the family's 1533-position model. The record is from RNAcentral.
CCUGCACCUGCCGGCGACCGGCGCACGGGUGAGUAACACGUAUGGAACCUGCCCGCCACAGGGGGAUAACCCGGGGAAACCCGGCCUAAUACCCCAUGCCGCCCGGACCGGGCAUCCGGUCCGGGCGAAAGGAGGAAUCCGGUGGCGGCUGGGCAUGCGGCGCAUUAGCUUGACGGCGGGGUAACGGCCCACCGUGGCGACGAUGCGUAGGGGUUCUGAGAGGAAGGCCCCCCACACUGGAACUGAGACACGGUCCAGACUCCUACGGGAGGCAGCAG